UUGAGUACCUUUGUGAAUGGAGAAUUUGGGGAUUUGGGUUAUGUUGCUCCAGAGUAUGCAAAAACUCUGGUGGCCACUCCAAAGGGUGAUGUUUACAGCUUUGGAACUGUUCUUCUGGAGCUGGUGACUGGUGAGAGACCAACCCAUAUUGCUAAAGCUCCAGAAAGUUUUAAGGGCAGUUUGGUUGAAUGGAUUACACAGCUGUCAAGCAACUCUCAACUUCAAGAUGCCAUAGACAAAUCUUUGGUUGGGAAGGGUGUUGAUAAUGAGAUUUUCCAGUUCCUUAAAGUUGCAUGUACUUGUGUACUGGCAAAUCCCAAGGAGAGGCCGACUAUGUUUGAAGUAUACCAGCUUCUAAGGGCUAUUGGGGAGAAAUACCACUUUACCACUGAUGAUGAAAUUAUGAUGCCUUCAGACAAUGGUGAUACUGAUUAUAUAGAGGAACUUAUUGUUGCUCAAGAAGUAACUUCUCAAUAAGACAUGAACUAUAGAAGUAUACAGAAUUUUAGCAUUUAUUUGAACUGGGACAACANNNACAGACAAUUACAUAUAAAUUGUGGAAAAAUACUUCACCUACCUCACACUUUUUAAUUACCCCCUCUUACUUCUUGAGCAACAAUAAGU
RNAcentral lists this unclassified non-coding RNA (624 nucleotides) under Hevea brasiliensis (rubber tree). The record is from RNAcentral. Lineage: Eukaryota; Viridiplantae; Streptophyta; Magnoliopsida; Malpighiales; Euphorbiaceae.